UUAGAAACCUAUCUGCCGUAAGCAGGAUUAUUACAGAAAAAUAGAAGUGUGUAGGAAGGGAGAAUAUAAUCUCACUUUUUUCUUUUAUCCUAACAGACAGCCUCAGUGGGCUAAUAGCCAAGAAGGUAGAAAUAUUAAAGCCCCCUGCACAGACCACAGCAGAUGGAAAAGAUCUGAGUUGGGCAAAACGUUCCUUGCUGAAAGUUGCUCUGUUACAUGAAACCAUUUCAGGAGAGCAGAGCAUCAGGAAAGGAGCAUCAUGCCUUUCGGACACAUUUUUGUGAUACUUCAAAGGAAUUAUUUGCAGCGUCAGUGAUGUAUAUUGCUUCUAGCACUCUGAAAACUUUCCUUCUCAAAUGAGGGUUGGUCCUGUGGAUCACUCUUAGGAGAGUAUCUAAAAUCAGGCCAUUCUGCUGGAGCAGCAGACAGAGCUGCAGUUGGAAGAAGGUAGAGAACAUGGGGGAAUGGAAGCCCCAAGAGGCUUUGCUUGGUUGGCAGUGUCCCACUGCUGCCCUGUGAUUCCCAAGUAGUUUGGAAAGAUCUAAUAUGGAGGUGCAGAGCACCACCGGGCUUUUUGAUAGGGACAAAGUUUCUAGGAACCUCUCACCAGCUGUCAUUUAAAUAGACAGUAGGCAGGAGGAGAGUCAUACAGGGGUUUUACUGGUUUAGGUAUCCUUCAGCAUUAUCAAGGCAACUGCAUUACUUCAUGGAAUGAUUGGUCUUGUAUUCAUCAGAUGAAUGCUAAUAUUCAUAAACUUCUUCCUAGUAAUUCUUAUUAUAGAAUAUGAUGAAAAUAAUAAAUAUUUUGAAGGAGCUUCCAGGACAUCAUUCGGGCUCCACUACUGACUCACUCUGCAACCCUGAGUGAGUCUCUUAAUGCCAGAUACCUCCUGUUUCCUCUCUGAUGAGUUAACAAAUGCAAAAAGACUAAGAAAAAGGAGAAAGCAGUUACAUUUGUAGAUAAUUGGAGCUUAUUUUCAGACCCGUUGAUGCCAAUAGCCCACGGUCAAUAGGUCAUGUGUAGAAUCAUGGAAUCAUUUACGUUGGAAAAGACCUCUAAGAUCAUUUAGUCCAACCAUCCACCUACCUCCAGUACUGCCCACUAAACCAUGUCCCUUAGUACCACAUCUACAAAUCACUUCCAGGGGCAGUGACUCUACCACCUCCCUGGGCAGCCCUUUCUAGUGCUCGAUCAGUCUUUUGGAGAAGAAAAUUUUCCUAAUAUCCAAACUGAAAGGAGAAUUUGAUAGACUCCUCUGUUCUGAGAGCAUCAGAAACGUAAGAAAAAAAAAAACCUAUGAGAUGCUCAGAAUCUAAUUAUAUGGUGGUCUAUAUUUUACAGACACAUCCCUGACAUGGGCUGAGGUCCCAGAACUGAAUACCAGAGGCUGCUGAUACACUGAGCCAUUGGAGUAAUCACAUUUUAAGUAAAAUACAGGUUUUUUUCAGUGCUUGUAAAUAGUAGGACUAGGAAUACAAGAGUUCCAGCUCAUAGAAAGCAAUGCGAUACAUGGUUCAUACCUCAACUUUGCUGAGCAUAAUCUCAACGUGGCACAAGUCUGCUGGUAGGUAAUUGCAGGUAUAGUUGUGACUACCUGUAAAGCUGUAUGAGAAUUGCUAAGUCACAGCCUGAACCAAUGACUGAGCACCUGGUGAAAGGACACAGCCAGCCCCAAUAGUACAGGUAAAAACAGGUUCCACCCCUCUCUAAGCCUCAUUUAAAGACUGGCUGCCACAGGAGAAGGUUCUUUACCAGGAGAUCUUUUGGAGUAUUCAGUGGGCCCUGAUCUUUGGCAUGGUCUCUCCCUGUCUUGGAACAUCAAUACUGCAAGCUCAGAACUGUCAGCUGGAACUGCAGGACACCAACUGCAUUUCUCUGCUCCUGAGACUUGGGGACAGCCCUCAGGGUUGUGACAAAGUAGACACAACUGAGGUGACCACCUUUAAUCUUCUUGAUUUCUUGUUGACAUGAAGAGUCUGUCUUUUGUUUUCCCACACUGUUGGAGGAUGGUAGCAAAAACAUUAAUGGAUGUGGAUCAGCAACAUCACUCACAGAUGGGAGAGGAGGAAGAAUAUCCUGCCCUUCACUACUGAAGUUUAAUACCAACUUGCUGACCAGUCCAUGGCACUCGUAUUCCUGUCAGCAGAUGUGGAUUUUCCAGCAGCAAAUAAGCCACUAAUGGUACAAAGUCCUUCUCAGUAUGGUGUAACACUUGACCAACCCAGGCCAAAAAAUGAAGUCAACUCAUGCAAGUUAAAGUAUCACAUCAGGCCAAAGAGCUUUGUCUUUCUGUCAUCCAGCAAGAACUGUGUAUGGGGGACUCUUCUGUGUAUGCGUUACAAACUAUUGUUGGUCACUUUAACAGAGUAAGAAACCAGAAACAUCAUGGAGGUCAAGUAUGAAGUGCUGCAAGCCUUCAAAUGCAGAGGUCAAGCAUACAAUGAAAACAAAGCAAAGUUGUAAUGCUAGUUGCAAGCUGCAUGGAUAAUCAAUAGCAGAAUGUGAUUCCUUUUAAUCAAGGGUUAUUUUAGAUGGCACCAGAGGAGAAACAAACAAACAAAAAAAAACCUGUAAAUUUGCUAAUUGGAAGUUGAAAUCUGUAGCUGGUAGCAGGCUCCCAGGAAAGAAAUAGAUUGCAUGCAGUAAGAGUAAUGUUCAGCAACAAGUUCACAGCAGUUAGCUCACCAGGGAGAUAAAAGUUCAUACUAAGGUAAUUCUUGUGAACUCUUUUAUAUGCUCAAAGCAGAACAAGGAUAUUGAAGUGCCCUAUCUGGAGGAUUCUCUCCAUGACACAGCAUUCAUGAAUGAAAGCUCCCAAUAGCUAUCCUAGAGCUAGUAAGAUGGAAAGGUAACUAUUUCCCAGAACUUGAAUGGUUUUCCCCCCAAAAAAAGUAUUUGAGCAACUGUUCUUUUGAUAAAACUGUCCUCAGCUGAGGUGAGGUGGGUUACUGUUGUAGCAGUAUGUGUGUAUAUACAGUUUUUUUACCUAAGUUUUUGACAUCUGAGUUACCUCUUGCAGCCUCAGCCCAUCCUUUGCUGCAGGCAUGGUGCUGGGUGAGCCAUUGGGCUGCAGUGUGCAGUCACUCUGUUUUUUUCCUGUUCACUGUGGAUGCUGUUGGUUGGCACGUGGAGGCUCUCUGUUGAUGAAUGAGUGCUGUGAAGCAGAUGGGAUGGAAACAGAGAUGUUCUUGACAUUCAAUCAGAUUGUAAUGAGCAGUUUUUUUUUGUCGCCAAUGGGCUGAAACAUGCCCAUUUCUUAAAAGCUGUUCUUUUUUUCACUGAUGUGACCCAAAGUGACAGCUCCCUCUCCUGAGAUUUCCUCUGACUUGAUUUAUGGAGUCUGAAUUCCAGCUGCAUGCUACUUGGGGCACAGACUGUGUGAUGUUCCAUGUGAGGUGCCCAGACAAAACAACAGCUUUAAAAUAUCAUAAAGCAGCCCCAAAAAGACUUGUCAGAGCUGGAGGGGACAGAUCCAUUGCUUGCAGGCAAGGGGAAAUGAAGAAAUGCAGGAGUUCUGUGCUGUAGGAAAAUCUCCAGCUAAACUGCUUUCUCCCAUGUAUGAUUGCCUACUCUGAGCCUAUUCAAGGAGUCUUUGGGAAAAUACCUAAGAGGAUUUUUCCUUUCAGAUUAAGUGAUUUCUGGAUGAUUUUACCCACAGCACAUCAGCAGGGGGUGAAUUUAGCUGCACUUUGCCUGCACCAGUGAAAGAGAGUCUCAUUCUUUUCAAAAUCAUCCACUAAAUUAAUGAAGACAUGAGCGUACAUUACACUGAAGCUAUUUAGCUUAUUCAAGGCUCCUCUCUCAGAUCAUUUCCUUCUGUGUGUGUCUUUACAUCACAGGCUCUUCUGUUUAUAAUUUCCAAAGUUAGGGAAAAAAAAUAUCUUUUAAAGGAGUUACUCUCAGCAUUCAGCAGUCAGAAACUGUACGUACAGUAGUCAGCCUGAAAUAGAAAGAUGAAAGACCUCGCUCUGCUCAGUUAAUGCAAUAAUGAUCACUCUUUAGCUCAAAUAUAAUAUGAGGUGAGUGCCACAAUUAACAAGGAGUAAGAACCAAAAUGCAAUGUCAAUUUCUGUUUUGUUGUGUUGAAUGAAUUACUAGGAUCUUCAUGCUCUGGAACUUUGGCUAGGAUCAUUCUACUGUCCCGAGGAAAAUAAAAUGUUUGCUAAUGAAUAGAGUGAUGCAAGAUAUCUGCAAAGCAAUAUUGAAAGGAUGCUGCACUGAAGGAAAACAAGGAAGCUACAAAAGCUACAGGAAACUCAUUUUUUGAGGACAAAAUGGAAAAACAUUCUACAGGAAUGUUGUCCUUGUGGCCUGAAAGCCAAUUUGAGUGAUUUGGGUAUGGGAAGUUGUGGGGUGGGCAGGUAACAUGGGCCAUAAGUGCUCUUUUUCUUCACCUAUCUAUAGAUAUUGAGCUUUUCUGCUGUUACGGGGCUGAGAUUCCCAAAUACUUUCAUUGAGAUUUUGUGCUGCUCAAACCUAUUCUGGUCAGAAAGACAAUGCCACCUCCACUGCAGAGCCCAGAACUCCACUUAAGAUAUCAUGUUACAAAGUUAAUAAUCUGCAGAUAGUCCAGAAAUUAGGCCCCUUCUAGCAGUUCCCAUUGAUGUGAUGAGAAAGUGUGACUUGUUUUGCAUUCCUUAAGCACCUGCUUUACAUUCGUUGAGUAGAAUUUAAAAAGAGCUCUCCAGGCCUAUAAAUGAUGAUGGGUGUCAAACAGCCUUGCUAGCACCCUGCCUACCUACAGCCUUCCUAAUCCUGCUCCCAGCUCCUCACCUGCAGCAGCCUGUAUUGAACAGGAGAGCCAGGAGCUGGGCUCCUAUUGCAGCUGCAGAGAAAGGGCUUUGCUCUGGAUGUAAUCUGCAGCACUUCGUAUUUAGGGACCUUGCUUUAACUUUUUACUUGUUUUUCCUUUCUUUUUUUUUUCCCCUCUUUUUUUUCCCAGCUACACUCCUGUCAAAUCCCAGUUUCCAUAUGAAGGUUUGCACCAAGUUGAGUGAAAGCAAUUAGGUAAUCUGUUUGUAACAAAAUACUUUUCUUUUGCUUUAGUAAACUUAGUGCUUCCCUGUAAAAACAAACUCUUUAAUUACUCAGGUGUGACUACUCACCAUAUUAAAUCACCAUACUACCUCAGCAUAAUAAUACAGUUCUUUACAAUUUCAUUUUAGAAUCGCUCUUCUUUUGCUGACAUUUAAUUUUGCACAGGAGUAACACUAUCAUAAAAGAGCCCAGGUGCAAAAAUAUUAUGUUUUUAGUAAUGAUGUACUGUCCAUUACUAUUAAAAACUAGAAAAGCUAUCAGCGCUGCUUCAUAUCAACUGGGAUUACUUAGCUUACAUGUUUAAGAGGAAUCAUUUAAGAGCUCUGUUGCAGCACAGGUGCCUGUGCACCUCUUCUACACCUGGCCAUUUGACAAUAUACUUUCAUAUGUGAGGUUUCAAACUUUCCCACAGGUAAAUAUUUUUUUAAUUUUUCUGCUCAAAAUGGCAAACACAAAGUUUUUGCAGUAGGGAAGAGGAAGGGCAAGAAUGAGUUGCGUGUUUAGUGAAUGCCGUUUUUAGAGGUUUGUAUCCUUAGCUUUUUGGAUGAUGAUUUGCCUUCCUGAGGCUCUUCUGACAGGAGAAAUUACAACUGUAGUUGCUUGCAGUUCUGUCUUCAUUUGCUGUGGUAUUGAUUCUUUAUAAUAGAACUAGAAAGAUGUUCAGCUUCACUGAAACCUACAGCAAGACAUGCUGGAAUUAAUCUCUCCAACCUUCAACAGUGCAGUUUAGCAAUCAGGUAACCAGUAACUAAGAGGCUAGAUAUAUACUUUCACACAUGGAGAAACAUAACCUCCAGGGAAUGAUUUGUAUCAUUCUGAUGUAGGUUUUUUUAUAGAGUAGGAAACACCUGCAAUAAGGCUGCAAUAUGGUUGUAUGCUGCCAUACAACCAGAGCUUCAUUCCUCAGGCAGAGGUGUUGGAGCAAAGGAGAAGGAGCUGCAGUUUUCUGUCCUUUGCCAUUCAUCCAGAACUCCGUAGCUUCCAGGUUUGUCUCUUUCGUCUCCUUUCUACUGGCAUUUUAGCACAUCUGGAUCUCUGAGUUUUCUCUUUAUGUAAAAAUUGCCUUUACUUUUUUUUCCUCCUUGAUUUCUCUCAGAAAGUUUCUGCAUGUUCUUAUCUGCAGCUCCGAUCUCCAUUUGCUGCUCUUAUUUUUGAGUGGUUUGCAUGGUGGUUUCUCCUGUCAUGUUUUUAUCAGGCAUCCUCCAGUAACAAUCCUGCUGUUUUGCCCCAGGUUCUGUUUACCUUCUCUAUCUGCUCUGGUCCUCAUGUUUUAAGGCUGUUGGAGUUCUCAUAAUUGCAAGGUUUGGGCCUUUUUCAAAUGGUUGGUUUUUUAUCUUACUCAGUGUACGUUUCUAUUUUCUCCCUUCAUUGGACUGUUCAUUUUUAAAAGUCUUUUAAUCAAAUGAAAGGAAUUAAAAAUGAGGAGGGAAAACCCAAGAAUUUAAAUUCCAGUCUUUUUUUCUACCACAAAGAACCAAGAAUUCUUUCUAUUUAAGACAGUCACAGAUUUUAUCAUUGUGACUGGUUUCCAUUAACUUUGUAAGUAGAAAGACGUUUAGCAAAGUUGAAAGCUGUCUCUUAUGUGAUGACAGACUUUGCCUGGUUUAGUAUUUGUACUGGUUAACUACCAAAUCCUGAGUCUACUGCUGUCUACAGCCAACAUUUAGUGUUCGCUAAAAGAAACAUGACUUAGAAAUAUAUCUUCCAUACUAAGCUUUUGAAAACACACAGUAUUUUGAGUUAGAGAAACAACAGUUUUAACACGUGAAAAGAAAUGUUACCACAAGGCCUCCUUGAGAGAAAGAAACAACAGAAAAGGGUGCAAAGGGUCGGGAAGAAAGCAUGAUACAUGUUCAGCUGCCUCAUCUAUAUACAAGAUAACCUAUUAAUACUCAUUCAUACAACUAAAGCAGCAUGAACUGGUUGUAUGGAUUGACAAACUGGUUAAACCAACAAUGGCACCAUGUUGGGAUGCAGUAACACCAAGUGGGAUUUUGUUUCUGGAAGUCAAGGCUCUGUGGAUGCCUGUUGGAGCUCUAUAGUCUUUGCCAUCGCUGUGCUACCAUAGCCUAUUUAGUAUUCAACAAAAGAAGUCUCAGCUGGUCUUUCCCAUUUCAGUUCACACAAAUCAGGUUUGGAUAGAGGACUGAGGGGAGAGAAAAGCUUCCAUCUCUUAUCUGUCAGGAUUUUUCUUUUUGCAGUUUCUUGAGAAGACUUUUGUAAUACAAAAGUUCUCUGAUGUCCUUCCACGCUGCUUCUUCCUUUCACAUCUGACCUUGUAGGAUCACUGAAUGUCUUGAGCUGGAAGGGAUCCACAUCCUCAGGCUGCUGCCCGUCAUCUUGGCCUGUCCUUGAGCCCCUGGGCUGAGGACUCUGAGAGGGCUUAGGCAAACCUAAUGUUAUCCAACCCCUUCUGCUCUGCAAGGCUGCAACUCUGGCUUUCAAUCUUCACCCUUGCUUCUACUCAGGUACAACUGUUACUAUUUUCACUCUUAGUUUAAUAUCGGAGAAAGCUUUCCCUAAUUAAUCAUUAGAAACAGAGAAUGCAUAAUGCAUUCAGAACUGCAAAAACUUAAUUCUGGUUAAUUUUUUACUCUCUGAGUAAAGUCAUUAUGCUGAUCUUUCAAUCAAGAACACCCAUUUUGUUUAUUUUUAACGUUCCUUUCAUUACGUUAUGAGCUUCUUAAGGAUAAUGAAAUAAUUGCUUGUGUCUUUGAUUGAUCUUUGUUUUGAAUGGAAGCUUUAAUAGUGUUAUUUCUGGCACAGGCUUACAGUAUAAUACAACUGAAGGAAAUCAUGACACUAAAACACUUUAAAGCACACGUUCCAAUAAUUAGACCUACAAUCCUUGUCAGCCAUAGGACUGUACAGGGAGGAGUUCCUGUUACAAUUUAUGAGGAAAGAAUUCAUGCUAUUUUGCUUAAUAAAGCAAAAAAUAUUACUAAUGACAUUUAUUAAUAGCUGUAGCAAUCUGUGAACAAACUCCUUCUCCAGGCAGCUCUGGAAAGACAUUCACAUGCUACAGAGAAAUCCCAAAUUCUCAAAUCCAAAUUUACUUUUUAACACUAAAACAUGCCAGAUGUAUGGUAACUUGGGAUCUAAGUUCAUCCUGUGUGAAAGAUGUUGAGGUUCCUCACAUCUGGAAAUGUAUGUUCCUCCUGGAUCUCCUACUGAAGACCCCUUCCAGCUGUUCCCUGACAUCUCAGUACCCCUGGUUCCCUGUCAUUAGGACCAGCACCUGGUCAAGAGAAUGGCUUCAACUGCACUGAGUGCACAGUGGAAGCUGACAAACUGCACAGAUUUGCAAGAAAAUUUCUGGAAGGCUCUGAAAGUAAUGCCUCCUAUUUUAUUAUGUUGGCCCAUGAUAUCAGAGGUACAGCAGUGGAGGCUGAACCUUCCUAUCAAUAUUCAUUACGUUUUGUUGCCGUGUGAUGGCAGCAGAGGGGCAGUCUGUCACAAUGACGUCUGAUAUGGAAGUGUGGAUGAAGAAAGAACAGUGAAUGUCAGCACAGUGAGGACUGAGUGAUGCAUUUCAGAAGUGUCUGAAAUAUAAUAGCCUGUCACAUAAGAGAUACCAAGUUGUCUGAAGUUUAGAAACAAAUUCAUGUUUUGAGGACUAAUUAAAUGUCUUUAAAAUCAUUCAAGUUUUAAUAACACUCAGUGCCCAUCUCUUGCUCUCAAAAAUGAACUGCAUUUGCAUCCUUGGUAAACCGGAUGCUUCUGUGUUGUAGCAGUAAUCAUUGUUGGAAGCAGGAAUCGUUUUAUUCAGCCAACAAGAGGAAAGAAGCCUUAGAGCGAAGGACAGCAUGUGUCUCACAGCAUAUCAAGGGAAAGUAGUAGAGAGAAGUGCUUUAACAAGAUACAGGCUCUCAGAAGAGUUCUAUAGUAUACAACUCUGUGAUAUCACAUGAUGGAGGAAAUUUUGAUAUAAUUGGGUAUCUGUGAAGAGUGGAUAUGCGUGCACACAAAUUAGAAGUGGAAAGGAAAGGAACAACAGAAAAUCAGAAACUAAAUGCACAUUUUUUCAGCUUGAAAUACAGCUAUGUUCCUGUACUGAUGGUUAGAGCAUAAG
Long non-coding RNA from Tympanuchus pallidicinctus (lesser prairie-chicken), 9110 nucleotides. RefSeq lists it as uncharacterized. The transcript is spliced from 4 exons. NCBI's taxonomy places the organism in Eukaryota, Metazoa, Chordata, Aves, Galliformes, Phasianidae. The record is from RefSeq and is a predicted model, not a curated record.